GACGAGGGAUCCUAGCGUUGUUCGGAAUCAUUGGGCGUAAAGCGGGUGUAGGCGGACUUAUAAGUCAGAUGUGAAAUCCCAGGGCUCAACCCUGGACGUGCAUUUGAUACUGUAAGUCUUGAGUGUGGUAGAGGUUACUGGAAUUCCUGGUGUAGUGGUGAAAUACGUAGAUAUCAGGAGGAAUACCGGAGGCGAAGGCGGGUAACUGGGCCAACACUGACGCUGAGAUCCGAAAGCGUGGGGAUCAAAC
Molecule: ribosomal RNA, 250 nt
Filed under: uncultured bacterium
Lineage: Bacteria
Description: partial 16S ribosomal RNA
Rfam family: Bacterial small subunit ribosomal RNA
Source: RNAcentral